RNAcentral lists this long non-coding RNA (2776 nucleotides) under Numida meleagris (helmeted guineafowl). RNAcentral describes it as "lncRNA (ENSNMEG00000002598.1)". The record is from RNAcentral. Lineage: Eukaryota; Metazoa; Chordata; Aves; Galliformes; Numididae.
GGGUGCAUGGGUGGAUAUUGCAUGGGUGGGGUGCUGCGUGGGUGGGGUAUUGCGUGGAUGGGACGUUGCAUGGGUGGAGUGCUGCAUGGAUGGAUAUUGCAUGCGUGGGGGUUGCAUGGGUGGGGGUGUUGAAUGGGGGGCUUGCAUGGGUGGGGGUUGCAUGGGUGGAUAUUGCACAGGUGGGGUUGCAUGGGUGGGAUGUUGCAUGGGGGCUUGCCUGGGUGGAUAUUGCAUGGGUGGGGGGUUGCACGGGUGGGGGUUGCAUUGGGUGGAAUAUUGCAUGGGUGGGUUUUGCAUGGGUGGAUAUUGCAUGGGUGGGAUGUUGCAUGAGUGGGAUGCUGCAUGGGUGGGGGUUGCAUGGAUGGGAUGUUGCAUGGGUGGGGGUUGCUGGGACGUUGCAUGGGUGGGAUAUUGCAUGGGUGGAUUUUGCAUGGGUGGAUAUUGCAUAAGUGGGGGUUGCAUGGGUGGGAUGCUGCAUGGGUGGAUAUUGCAUGGGUGGGACAGUGCAUGGGUGGAUGUUGCAUGGUGGGACAUUGCAUGGAUGGGAUAUUGCAUGGGUGGAGGUUGCAUGGGUGGGGUUGCAUGGUUGGGAUAUUGUAUGGGUGGAUAUUGCACAGGUGGGGGUUGCAUGAGUGGGAUGUUGCAUGGGUGGGUAUUGCAUGGGUGGGGGUUGCAUGGGUGGGAUGCUGCAUGGAUGGGGUGUUGCAUGGUGGGACAUUGCAUGGGUGGGAUAUUGUAUGGGUGGAUAUUGCACAGGUGGGGGUUGCAUGGGUGGAUGUUGCAUGGAUGGGACAACGCCGCAGUGCAGUAUCGCAUGGCUGGGGAAUUGCACGGCUGGGCUGUCACCCCGGUGCAGCAUUGCAUGCAGGGGAUGUUGCAUGGAUGGGGCAUCGCUCUCACGCAGCACCGCACGGACGGCACACGGCAUGGGUGGGGAACUGCAAGGCUGGGACAUCACUGCCGUGCAGCGCUGCAGGGAUGGAUGGGGUGUUGCACGGACUGGAUGUCAGUGCAGUACUGCAUGGAUGGGGCGCUGCAUCACGCAUGCAAUGUUGCAUGGAUGGGAUGUCACCGUGGUGCGGCAUUGCAUGGAUGGGACGUGGCAUGGGUGGAGCAUUGCAUGGAUGGAGCAAUGCAUGGAUGGGGCACGGCAUGGAUGGAGCAUUGCAUGGAGUGAUGGAGCACUGCAUGGAUGGAUGGAGCAUUGCAUGGAUGGAGCGAUGCAUGCAUGGAGCAUUGCAUGGAUGGAGCAUUGCAUGGAUGGAGCAUUGCAUGGAUGGAGCAAUGCAUGGAUGGAGCAAUGCAUGGAUGGAGCACGGCAUGGAUGGAGCACGGCAUGGAUGGAGCACUGCACGGAUGGAGCAAUGCAUGGGUGGAGCAAUGCAUGCAUGGAGCGCUGCAUGGAUGGGAUGUCACCCCAGGCCUGCACCCCGCUUCCAGCACGGCACUGGGACAGCCCCCCCCAAAACCCCCACGCACCCGGGGCAGAGCCCCCCACCAGGCUGGCCGAUGACCCACACCUCCUCGGGUAGCCCUGCCCAGUUUGGCCCAGUUUGGCCCAGUUUAACCCUGCAGAGCCAGGGCUGCGCCAGCGCUGCCCCAGCGCAUGGGGUGCCACCGGGGUACAGCUGCUCGGAGCGACAUUGGGGUGCCCAUUGGGAUUCCCAUUGGGGUGCUAUUGGGGUACCCAUUCGGGUGUUACUGGGGUGUUAUUGGGGUACCCAUUGGGAUUCCCAUUGCGGUACCCAUUGGGGUGCCCACUGGGAUUCCCAUUAGGGUGUUACUGGGGUGUUAUUGGGGUACCCACUGGGAUGCCCAUUGGGGUGCUAUUGGGAUACCCAUUGGGACGCCCACUGGGGUGAUAUUGAGGUGCUAUGGGGGUGCCAUUGGGAUUCUCAUUGGGGUGCCCAUUGGGGAGCCCAUUGGGAUUCCCAUUGGGGUGCUAUUGGGGUACCCAUUGGGAUUCCCAUUGCGGUACCCAUUGGGGUGCCCACUGGGAUUCCCAUUAGGGUGUUACUGGGGUGUUAUUGGGGUAUCCAUUGGGAUGCCCAUUGGGAUGCCCACUGGGGUGCCACAGGGUGCCAUUGGGAUUCUCAUUGGGGUGCCCAUUGGGGUGCCCAUUGGGAUUCCCAUUGGGAUGCUAUUGGGGUACCCACUGGGGUGUUAUUUGGGGUGCUACUGGGGUUUCCAUUGGGAUGCCCAUUGGGGUGUUACUGCGGUGCUAUUGGGGUGCCAUUGGGAUUCUCAUUGGGGUGCCCAUUGGGAUUCCCAUUGGGGUGCUAUUGGGAUACACACUGGGACGCCUACUGGGGUGUUAUUGGGGUGCUAUGGGGGUGCCAUUGGGAUUCCCAUUGGGGUGCUAUUGGGGUACCCAUUGGGAUUCCCAUUGUGGUACCCAUUGGGGUGCCCACUGGGAUUCCCAUUAGGGUGUUACUGGGGUGUUACUGGGGUAUCCAUUGGGAUACCCAUUGGGAUGCCCACUGGGGUGCCACUGGGGUGCUAUGGGGGUGCCAUUGGGAUUCUCAUUGGGGUGCCCAUUGGGAUUCCCAUUGGGGUGCUAUUGGGGUACCCACUGGGAUGCUAUUGGAGUGCUACUGGGGUACCCUUUGGGCUGCCCAUUGGGGUGCCCCCUUAGGUACCCAUUGGGAUGCCACUGUGUCCCCACAGCGGGGGGACACCCCAGCAUCGCUCCCGUCCCCCCCGGCGCAGGCUGAGCCACGGUGAUGCGGUGACACGGGUCGGCAGCAGCCGUGCCCACGCAGGCAGCGCCAGGCGG